RNAcentral lists this ribosomal RNA (552 nucleotides) under uncultured marine bacterium. RNAcentral's name for it is "bacterial SSU rRNA". It matches the Rfam family "Bacterial small subunit ribosomal RNA", at positions 355 to 896 of the family's 1533-position model. The record is from RNAcentral.
UGAGGAAUUUUGCACAAUGGGCGAAAGCCUGAUGCAGCAACACCGCGUGAUUGAUGAAGUUUUUAGGAAUGUAAAAAUCUGUCGUAAGGGAAGAAAUGUUUCGGAUGUUAAUACCAUCUGUUACUGACGGUACCUUACAAGAAAGGACCGGCUAACUUCGUGCCAGCAGCCGCGGUGAUACGAGGGGUCCUAGCGUUGUCCGGAUUUACUGGGCGUAAAGGGUACGUAGGCGUUUUAAUAAGUUGUAUGUUAAAUAUCUUAGCUUAACUAAGAAUGUGCAUACAAAACUGUUAAGAUAGAGUUUGAGAGAGGAACGCAGAAUUCAUGGUGGAGCGGUGACAUGCGUAGAUAUCAUGAGGAAAGUCAAAUGCGAAGGCAGCCUUCUGGCUCAAAACUGACGCUGAGGUACGAAAGCGUGGGGAGCGAACAGGAUUAGAUACCCUGGUAGUCCACGCCGUAAACGAUGAGUAUUUGGUGCUGGGGGAUUCGACCCUUUCAGUGCCGUAGCUAACGCGAUAAAUACUCCGCCUGGGGACUACGAUCGCAAGAUUG